UACUCCUACGGGAGGCAGCAGUGUGGGAUAUUGCACAAUGGAGGGAACUCUGAUGCAGCGACGCCGCGUGAGUGAAGAAGUACUUCGGUAUGUAAAGCUCUGUCAGCAGGGAAGAUAAUGACGGUACCUGACUAAGAAGCUCCGGCUAAAUACGUGCCAGCAGCCGCGGUAAU
This 173-nucleotide ribosomal RNA is filed under the name uncultured bacterium. Its description in RNAcentral is "partial 16S ribosomal RNA". It matches the Rfam family "Bacterial small subunit ribosomal RNA", at positions 334 to 524 of the family's 1533-position model. The record is from RNAcentral.